GAUGCUCCAGUUUGAGCCUGCUGUCUGCUCCUUUCAAGGAUAAGACCACGGCCAGUGAUGCUACACCAGCAAUGUGAUUGCCAAUCUUGCCAUAAAUCAAUGAAGCUUCCUCGCAAUGACAAACCCUCACCACUUAAGCAGAUGAGAAACAGGUACAAAUGAAUGCUGCAGGAUCCUCCCUACUGUGAAGCAUAAAUCUCGAGAGAACCGCGGUAGAAAAGUGAAAUAAAGUACCAGGAAUGCAGGACAGGAGUCGGGAUUUGUUUGGAGCUUCUCUUGUAUACAUGACUGGAAAAACGAUAGCAGCCUUCUUCCUGCCAAGGGUUUGCAAUUAGCGCGGCAGCAGGAAAAGGUAAUUUAAUGGUGCUGGAGCCUCCAUGUCUCUAUUGCAGCGAGGGAAGCAAAGCUGAACACAGCAUUCGAGGUGCAGCCUCACCAGAGCUGAGUACAGAGGGAUGAUCACUUCCCUGCUCCUGCUGGCAACACUAUUUCUUAUACAAGCCAGGAAUCAUCCUUAUGAUAAUCCCUGGGUUAAUGGCUCUGGCCACAUGUGGCACUCCAUGUAUACAACUUGUUCCAGUGAAGGUCCCCAUGUGCCUACCACAUCCCCAGCGCUCCCCACUCAAACAAAAUAUCCUCAACUGUUUUGGUAUUGGGAUGCCAUAAAGCUGCAGCCUCAGCUCCAGCCGGCUCUGCUUCUUGCUGCAUGAAGGUCUCUGUGUCUGGCAUUUGAUGGCCCCAGCCUCAUAAGGAGCCGUAAAAAUGGAAGGGCAACUGCACCUUAAGGUCCUACCCAAACAUGGCAAGGGCAGUUCCAUGGAGGCUGCAGGAGUUGGACUUGCAGCGCUGGAAGUGAGGAUGAUGGGACUGCGCUUCACUUUAAAAACAGAUGUGUCGAUUUAGGCUCUGUGGCAGAGCACAGGAGGAGGGGGAAAUCAGCUCGAUGGCAGCCAGCUGAGAGAGAAUGGAACGGAGAAGAGCCAGGGACUUGUGUGCUCGGAUAAACAAUGGGGUGUGCAGCCACACGGCAAAAAAUAAGCUAUAAAGGGAAUUACCACUAAAUGGAGGUCUUUGGCAAGAGGCUUCACAGAGGGCCGUGUGGCUGGGGGCUGCGGUUUUGGAUCAUGGAUCAGAGGGAGCGUUUAGGAUCCCUCAGCGCACAAUCCGUAAUCGCAACUGCUCUGGAUUAACUCCUGUGCGACCCAGGGCAUGCUGCAAGAGAGCAAAUCUGUCCCUGAUUUCACGUCUCCCUGGAGCAGGGAAUCCCCCGCUGUUCCUGUGGUUGAUAAUUUUCACUGCGCUGCUCAUCCACAUCCAUCUGGCUCCAGCUCUCAACAUGUUGUCUUUGCAGCAGCGCGCCUUUAACCCGCACAUUUGUGAGCCACUUAAAUCAGGUUUUUUCUCUCCCCAGCAUGGGUGCAGGUAGAGCCGCUGAGCUGCCGUCUCAUCCACACUGAUGGAGCUGUGUGGCAUAGGGGAGUGGUGGCACACAGUGGCAGGGGCAUGCGGUGACAGUGGCAUGCCAGCCUGGUCCCAUGGAAGGACAAGGAGCUCCACUCGCUCAUGGCCCUGGGAGAGGAGAGGCAGCAGUAAGUGCUGACUGUCUUGCUGGCUAAUCAGGAUGGAACGCUCCCGAUUAUGUAUUUAACAUGGGUACAGAUGCUGUGAGCAGAGUUUUUAAGCUCAUCAGUUAUCAGAACUCACCCCUGGGCCCUGUCCCUCCCCUGGUCUCCCCCUAACUCUGCAGAGAUAUUGAUUCGGCUGUUUUUCACUAUUAUAUAUUAUAAAUUGACUUCAGCAACCCUUUUCCCUAACUAAUGAGGCCAUUAGCGAUGGGGCGUGGGCAGACACACGGCCGACCCGAGAUCAAUCAGAUGAGGGGAUCAGUUCUGUCUGCUGGGAGAGCAGAUCCACAGCACUGCAAUGCCCAAUGACACCAUGUCCCUUGGUGGCUGGGGACACAGCACUGUGUUAACUUCAGCUGCUGCAUCUCUACGCCCCAUGGGAUGCUGCAGGGUGAGGGCAGGGAGCCCAGAGCCUUGGUGAGAUGGGGCAGGAACUGUAGAGCUCUAUGGGUGAAUGGGUAAUAUGGGAUGGUCAUACAGGAGUGUGCCAUUUCCUGGUGCCAUUUGGCUCCCAGCCUUGGGGUCUGAAUUAGGGUGAAUGACAAGGAGCUGUGAAUGGAGCCAUUUGGCUGUGGCAAGACACACUCCCAACCAUUCCCCAAACCAUUCCCCAGUGGGGAGAAGCCUUCAUCCACACACAGCCCCGACAGCCAUUCCCCAUUGGGCACUGCUUUUAUUGGCUGGCUUGGAGCUCACUUUGUACCUCUCUCCCUCCCAUUUAAUUAGCUGCUUUCAACGCUCAAGCAGAAACCAAAAAGCACUGCCCGAUGUUUUCUACGUAGCCUCCCUGCAUUUUUACCUUUCACCCUCUGGAAAUGUCAGAGCUGCAGGGAAUCCACACUGCUUUGUUGCCUGUACUGUUUUAAUAACUUUAGGGCUCUCAGUCCUCUGGCGGCUGUUCUGCCCACCUCCUCCCAAAGAGGAGAGCACGUGGGGAGAUAAGAGCCCAUCUGAUGUAGAAGAGGCAGGGAACAAGAGAACCACAUCUAUCUUUAACCCUGCACGUUGGGAGGGUCAUUUCAUUUAGGGAGGAAGGUAUUUUCUGCCACCCGAGCAGCAGAGUCCCAUGCACUUUCACACGCUGGCCCAGUAAAUCAUUCUGGCCAGAUAAAAAUGAAAGGGAUGGUUGGUUACUGAGCCAGGCUGCAUUGAAAAACCCGCGGUU
Molecule: non-coding RNA, 2790 nt
Organism: Coturnix japonica (Japanese quail)
Lineage: Eukaryota; Metazoa; Chordata; Aves; Galliformes; Phasianidae
Source: RefSeq, a predicted model, not a curated record